RNAcentral lists this ribosomal RNA (253 nucleotides) under uncultured bacterium. RNAcentral's name for it is "partial 16S ribosomal RNA". It matches the Rfam family "Bacterial small subunit ribosomal RNA", at positions 524 to 776 of the family's 1533-position model. The record is from RNAcentral.
UACGUAGGGGGCUAGCGUUGUCCGGAAUCAUUGGGCGUAAAGAGCGUGUAGGCGGUCCGGUAAGUCCGUUGUGAAAGUCAAGGGCUCAACCCUUGAAUGCCGGCGGAUACUGUCGGGCUAGAGUCCGGAAGAGGCGAGUGGAAUUCCUGGUGUAGCGGUGAAAUGCGCAGAUAUCAGGAGGAACACCUAUUGCGAAGGCAGCUCGCUGGGACGUUACUGACGCUGAGACGCGAAAGCGUGGGGAGCAAACAGG